GAGGAUGGUGGAACUUGAUGAGGUUAUUGAACCGUUGCUUCAACCAGAGUGUAGCACGGCGCAGGAAGUUGUUCCUGUGGUGCCUACACCAAUUGAAGUGGAAGCUGAGGAUAGUGAUCGUGAAGCUUCGGAUCAAGUUACUACAAAUCUCGUAGGUCGACAGGGUCAUGCACUGCUCCAGGGUGGUACGGUAACCCUGUCUUGGAGGUCAUGUUCUUGGACAACAAUGAACCUACGAGUUGUGGAGAUGCGAUGGUGGGACCGGAUUCCG
This 271-nucleotide long non-coding RNA is filed under the name Hordeum vulgare. RNAcentral's name for it is "long non-coding RNA (HVUL_LNC004838)". Lineage: Eukaryota; Viridiplantae; Streptophyta; Magnoliopsida; Poales; Poaceae. The record is from RNAcentral.